GCAAGAUACCACGGGCGCACGGCGGAUGCCUUGGCACAGGGAGCCGAUGAAGGACGCGGCAAGCUGCGAUAAUCCCCGGCGAGGAGCACACAUCCUUCGACCCGGGGGUCUCCGAAUGGGCGAACCCAUCCACAGCAGUGUGGAUAUCCCGACCCUGAACACAUAGGGGCCGGGAGGACAACCCGGGGAACUGAAACAUCUAAGUACCCGGAGGAGAGGAAAUCAAUCUCGAGACUCCCCGAGUAGCGGCGAGCGAAAGGGGACCGAUGGCCAAACCGUCGAGCGGGCAUACCCGGCAGGGGUUCCGCCGACGGGGUUGCAGGGCCGCGCAUCCGGGGGCUGCCGCCCCCGGGCGCAGGUCCGGCUGGGGAGCGGAACGGCAUGGGAGGGCCGGCCGCAGCGGGUGACAGCCCCGUACGCGAACCCAGACCGGACGGCGCGACGCGGUCCCUGAGUAGGGCCGGGCACGUGAAACCCGGUCCGAACCUGGGUGGACCACCAUCCAAGCCUGAGUACUACCCUGUGACCGAUAGCGCACCAGUACCGUGAGGGAAAGGUGAAAAGCACCCCGGGAGGGGAGUGAAACAGUACCUGAAACCGUGCGCCCACGAGCAGUCGGAGCACCUAUACGGUGUGACGGCGUGCCUUUUGUAGAAUGAGCCAGCGAGUCGCUGGCGCGGGGCGAGGUUAACCGAAAGGGAGCCGGAGCGAAAGCGAGCCUUAACAGGGCGACUUGAGUCCCGCGCCGCGGACGCGAAGCCGGGUGAGCUAUCCGUGGGCAGGCUGAAGCGGGGGUAAGACCCCGUGGAGGGCCGAACGCACGUCGGUUGAAAACGGCGGCGAUGACCUGCGGAUAGGGGUGAAAGGCCAAUCAAACCCGGAGAUAUCUCGUUCUCCCCGAAAUAGCUUUAGGGCUAGCGUCGCGCGUUCACCGCCGGAGGUAGAGCACCGGAUGGACGAGGGGGCUUCGCCGCCUACCGAAUCCAACCGAACUCCGAAUGCCGGCGGCCCAGAGCGCGGCAGUCAGAGCAUGUGGGCUAAGCUGUGUGCUCGAGAGGGAAACAGCCCGGACCGCCCGCUAAGGUCCCCAAGUUCCAGCCGAGUGGCAAAGGAUGUGCGUCCGCCCAGACAACCAGGAUGUUGGCUUAGAAGCAGCCAUGCAUUCAAAGAGUGCGUAACAGCUCACUGGUCGAGUGGACAUGCGCCGACAAUACACGGGGCUAAGCUGGACACCGAAGCGGCGGGAUUUUGAUUUUCAGAAUCGGUAGGGGAGCUUCCCAUGGGCGGCGAAGCCGCCGGGCGACCGGCGGUGGAGCGCAUGGGAGUGAGAAUGCUGGCAUGAGUAGCGAGAGACGAGAGAGUAACUCGUCCGCCGUGAACCCGAGGUUUCCUGGGCAAGGCUAAUCCUCCCAGGGUCAGUCGGGGGCUAAGGCGAGGCCGGGAGGCGUAGCCGACGCGCAGCAGGCAGACAUUCCUGCACCGCGCACGCGGCGCUACGACCGACGGGGCGACGGAUGGGGGUGGCUCGGCGGGGUUCUGGACGUCCCCGUGAUGGAGCGCGGCCCGCGGACCAGGGAAAUCCGGUCCGCACGAGGGCGAGGCUCCGGACGAAGCAUCUGAGCGAAGCGAGUGAGCCCGAGGUCCCUAGAAAAACCCCUAGGCAGGCGCGUGCGCGCCCGUACCGCAAACCGACACAGGUGGGUGGGUAGAACAUACCGAGGCGAUCGGGUCAACCAUGGUCAAGGAACUCGGCACAAUGGCCCCGUAACUUCGGGAGAAGGGGUGCCCGCGCGUACGUGAACGGACUUGCUCCGGGAGCGGAGGCGGGCCGCAGUGGAGAGGCCCAAGCGACUGUUUACCAAAAACACAGGACUCUGCAGAAGCCGCAAGGCGACGUAUAGGGUCUGACGCCUGCCCGGUGCCGGAAGGUCACGCGGAGGAGUUAGCGCAUCGCGCGAAGCCCCGAAGCCAAGCCCCGGUAAACGGCGGCCGUAACUAUAACGGUCCUAAGGUAGCGAAAUUCCUUGUCGGGUAAGUUCCGACCUGC
RNAcentral lists this ribosomal RNA (2047 nucleotides) under human gut metagenome. RNAcentral's name for it is "bacterial LSU rRNA". It matches the Rfam family "Bacterial large subunit ribosomal RNA", at positions 1 to 1991 of the family's 2925-position model. The record is from RNAcentral.